RNAcentral lists this ribosomal RNA (253 nucleotides) under uncultured bacterium. RNAcentral describes it as "partial 16S ribosomal RNA". It matches the Rfam family "Bacterial small subunit ribosomal RNA", at positions 524 to 776 of the family's 1533-position model. The record is from RNAcentral.
UACGGAGGGGGCUAGCGUUGUUCGGAAUUACUGGGCGUAAAGCGCACGUAGGCGGCUUUGCAAGUCAGAGGUGAAAGCCCGGGGCUCAACCCCGGAAUUGCCUUUGAGACUGCAUCGCUAGAAUUGUGGAGAGGUAAGUGGAAUUCCGAGUGUAGAGGUGAAAUUCGUAGAUAUCAGGAAGAACACCCGUGGCGAAGGCGGCUCUCUGGGACGGUACUGACGCUGAGACGCGAAAGCGUGGGGAGCGAACAGG